CGAAAUGCGAUACGUGGUGUGAAUUGCAGAAUCCCGCGAACCAUCGAAUCUUUGAACGCAAGUUGCGCCCGAGGCCGCCGGGCCGAGGGCACGCCUGCCUGGGCGUCACGC
RNAcentral lists this ribosomal RNA (111 nucleotides) under Homalomena hanneae. Its description in RNAcentral is "partial 5.8S ribosomal RNA". It matches the Rfam family "5.8S ribosomal RNA", at positions 49 to 154 of the family's 154-position model. Rfam says of the family: 5.8S ribosomal RNA (5.8S rRNA) is a component of the large subunit of the eukaryotic ribosome. The record is from RNAcentral. Lineage: Eukaryota; Viridiplantae; Streptophyta; Magnoliopsida; Alismatales; Araceae.